AAUAAAGCCCUUUUCCUUGCCAUAGUCUCCACUAGACGGAUUUUACAAAUACCGGAGCCUUUCGAUAAUAAAUAAUUCUGGUUUUGUGAGGGCUUCCCCCCCCCCCCCUUCCGAUAUGUUGGGACCCGCGGUCGGGCGGCCCUUCCCGCCGACGGUCGCUCCCGCAGCGACCCGCCAAACCAUCAGCAGUACCCCCGGACAGUCGUGCCCCCCCGCCCCGGUAACCCCUCCGUCCGGCCCCCCAGCCGCCACACCGCGGCGCCGGGGGAAGGCGGGCGCCCCGGGGCUCGCACUGGCGGGGAGGCAGGCAGGGCGGGCGGCCGCCGGUCCCCUCACGCGGCAGGCGGCCCCGCUUCCCCCAGCGGGGCUCCGCUCGACCCCCGACUGCUUCCCCCACCCCCACUGCCGGCUCUGAGCCGGCUGCAACACCCUUAAGAAUGCCGGAACAUUCGUCAUAGUCACGUCAUGGCCCCCGCCCGCCAGCCCGACCUUGGUAAUGAGGCGGCGGGUCCGCCCCUUCAUGAAUAAUGCAUCGCACCGGGAGCCCCUCCCCCUGGCGCUGCUCUGACCAACGCCCGCGCAUACGGCGCCGACCAGCCGGAUGUGAAAGUACUCACUCGCUUCACGAUGAUCCUCCUCUCCAUACGGGAAGCUGAGGCUGUCAACAAACACCUAUUAUCAUCCCACGAAGUUGUGAGCAGAGACCUUCUGUUUCAUCGCAUCAGCACGUUUUCUUCUUAAGUGGGCAGAGGAAGGGCAUCCUCCAUCUUACGUGAGCCAUUAGAUCAUUUAUGAAUAUACUGAAGAGAACAAGUUCAAGUGCAGAUCCCUGAUCACUUCAUUCCCAUGUCUGUUAUAGGUCUUAGUUGCUAUUGGAUGUUUCCUUCCUCUUUGGAAGAUGUGAACAACUUCAGAGGAAUUCCUCAUCAGUAGAUGUUCAGAGAGGUGCUCCUACUUCUUCAACCCCCAGGCAAAACUUUACACUUCUCCAUCUCAAGAGAAUAUCUUUAACGUAGAUUUACUGACAUGUAAAGAAGCCCCUUUGGAGAGCCAAACCACAACACUAUGGAACAGACAGCUAUGUUUGGGUUUGAUUCUGAACAAAACCUUGCUCUUCUUUUCGUGAUACUUACAAAGUGCUAUGAGAUUGCAGCUGGGCUGUCCUCUUAUCCAAGUGCAAAUGGGAUCAAAAUCAGGGAAGGAAACUCACGGUGUAGUGAUUUCAUUGCACAGAUGCAGCCUCCUUCGCUCCCCACCCCGAGUACAACUGAUGUGGUUGAAUGAGGGCAAGCUCCAGGCAUCAUGGUUUGCUUUUGACCUCACUGCUCCUCAAGAUGCUACCACCUACCCAGCUGCUGUUUAGUAGAAGCUGGCUCUACAUUUUGGCAUUGAAUACCAGUUGGUUUGACCUCUAUAGCCCUGGCUUGCUGGCAGCUGACUGCAGAAGGUGUUUUCUCUCCCUAUGUAAAGUAUGCUCAACCACAGGUUUAGUUUGAUAAGUGGAAGUGCCAUGGUUCUGAAGCUUUCAUUUUCUCCACCAAGCCUGAAAUAAUUUGAGUCAGUUGAUUGCCAAGACAUAGUUAGAUUGUUGUCUGUUAUAAUGAGUUUUAGGAGAUGAGCUGUGAUGUGUACUCAGUCUGAAAAUGGGAUGGUUUUGUUUCAUUAGUACAAACUUUGCCAUGCAAUAUGGAAACAGUGAAUUGUGGGCGUCUUGUUCCAAGAACUGUAUUUUUAUGGCACAGGUGCCGAGAGCACCAGAUUGUUGCACUUGGGUUGUGUACAAAUCCAAACAGAUAAAAUCUAAGUGCUCUAUUUAUUAUGUGUGGCUUUAAAGAUCUUAUGUGUUGGUAUUGGUUAGAUGUAACUUGCACCAAGGUAAGUUUUAAACCAAAGUCAUUUCUGGGUGCAUAUUCUACAACGUCAUUUUCAGUUUGUAAUUACUGCCUAACAUAUUUGAUAAUUCUGUGCCCUUCAACUCUAUAACACUGUCUCAUGGGAAGUAAAUGAUUAAUUCUCUUACUUCAUCCCAAAAGGCAAAGGUAGUUUUUGUCAUUCCUUAAUUGUACACUUGCAUAUAUAAUAGAAGAAAGUACUCUGCUUUUCUGCCUAUUCUGUAUAAUGUCAUGCAGAAUAUAAGACACACUCACGAAUCUGGAAUCUCAGUCAAAAUACUUUACAAGUUGUUUCCUAUCUUGCGUAAAACUUUCCCACAGCCACAUGAGGAAUUCACUCAUGAAAAACUCCAACAGCCAUAUGGCAGAUCACUCCAAGCUAACAAGUAAUCCAGUAAACUUUUCAUUUCACAGCAACACAAAGUUUACCUCCACAAGUAAGGUCAGUAUCUUCUGAAGGAAGGGAGAAGUGUUCUACCUUGCUUUUUGAACAGACUAGCACUGGUAUCAGCUAGCUCCUGGAGCUGCAUGGCUCUGUGAAGACUCUCUCUAAACUCUGAAGGUGAACAUACUCUUAUUUUGUAGGAGCUGGUUAUACUCUUUCAGCAGAAUCUUUUCUUUCUGCCACUUGGCAUGUGCCACUGGGACAGUCUUUAGGAUUCUUGAAAUGCAAGGAAUAGGCAACGGUAGUAUCUCAGUGACAAUUCACACCCGUCUCACCAGAUAGCAGUGCUGUUCGUAUUUACUGCCACAUAUUGAUGACAUUAUAGCCAGAAUCCUUUUUAUAUCUACAGAGCUGUAGGAUGUUAUAUCCCUUUCUGAGACAUUAUCAUCCCAGCUUUCUUGCUAGUCAUGCUUUUGUACCUUCAGUACAAGGCUGGGACUUAGAAAUAAAGGUUAGGGCUUUAAUUUAGUUGUUGACCAUCUAUAAUGUAUACACACUGUAGUGAUUCAGGCAAAAUACAAAAAGACUGAAGCUUCUGUCAAAAUCCAAAUGAAUACUUGUGGUUUUACACACCCAAGCUUCCCCUGUUUCUCAGGGUUUGGUACUUUGUGUACUUGGCGGCUUUUGGAAGGGUCAGAAAGUGCAAAAACUAAAAUCCAUGGGACUGUUUCAGUUUCAGUUAUCAUCUGCUCAACACUGGAAAUCAAAAUAACCUCAAUCGAUCUCAAAACAACCUCUCAACCUGCAAGGAAAUGGCUGAGAACUUUAUAUGAGUUUUAAUAUACUCUAGUGAUGGUAUUGUAAUUUGGAGGAUGGCCAAAGUGAUACAGGAGAACAGGAGGCACUGACUGGUCAGAGAAAAGUUGUAUAAAUAAUGCAUGAUAUAUGUGCCUGAGUGGUGACAGUGCUUUAUGAGCCCACCACAGGAGCGGCACUUAGCUGGGUGGACCAGGAGCCACCAAAAAACAAAUAAGGUAGCUGGGGCAAAUUAAAGUUAAGAAGUUUCUCACAUAUACCACUAAACCAAUCUAAAUAAACUCCCAGCAACAAAACAGUUAAUGAAAAUAUUACAACAGCAAGUUUCAGGUUGACUUGCUGAAGACACUUCUGGCAAACAAGGUAGUUGCAGAAAUCAUUUAACGUAACUCCACUCGUUGGUGUUUGAAGAGAAGAGGACAGGACCCUUCGGGUGGGGCAGUUAUGAUAUAUUGUUCCCCUGCAAAGAGUCGCACCAGAAUAAGAUUUUAGCCUAAUAAUGUGGACAGGAGUGUCGUCCUUAUUCCUUACCCCAAUUCAGCAAGCCAUGUGUCUCCUAUUUCAGGUGACAGACAGGUGUCUAGCAGGCAGAUCCCACUGCAUGAAAAAGAUGGAAGGUGUUUGCCUUCGCUAAUUUGUCUGGUUGUCAAGCUCAGUUAUUACCCACCAUUGGGUCCCAGAGCAAGGAGUGAAUGCUUUGCUGAGGUUUACUGGUCUUCAUGACAACCCCUCUCCAGUGAUGCACUGUUAAAAGUGUAAAGCCAUCAGAGCAGGGACUAUAACAUGUAUUAGAAAUGUGACAAUUCACACCUCAUAAUUAAAUUGACAGAUUAAAGAAGGGUUCCUUUUAUAAAAUGAAAAUGAGGAGUACAGCGUGGUAAGAGGUAAUCUGUCUUUUACUAGAAAUAAAAGACCUGAAUCAUGAAUUCUUGUGGUUGAACAGAAUAAGAUCCUAUCCAAUGCUUAUGAUGUUAUAUGUGAAUGUUGGAUGGAAACAAGAAGACUUACAUUUAUUCUAUGCCAUGUACUGUAAUGGUAAUCUAAAAAAAUCUUUCCUUUGUCCUGAUUUAAAAGUAAAUCAUAUCAGGCCAGAGAAAAUAUGGAAGUAAGAGAUUUUGUGAACACUGGGUGUGUCCAUAUAUAUUAUCUUAUAAUGCUAACAGCUUAUGAGGAUGUAGAAGAGGAGCUAUUUCUUCUCCAGAUGACUUUAAAGUAUUAAUUUUUUUGAAUGCUCUUCAAUAAAAUUGGUAGUUCCAAAGAAUUUGACUUAGAAAAUUAAGAGUUUUCUGAAAAAAAACCCAUUCUUUUUGGGCUUCUUUUUUAGCUAGUUAUGCUUAGAUGAGAGUAGAACUUGCCCUCAAAGUUAUUAAAACUAUGUAUGUUUUGGAGGGUAAAUAAUUUCUAACAGCAUCUAUAAACCAUAGUAUUUACAUUCUUGAUCUGUAUAUAUUUGCUCACAGGUCUGACUAUAUUAAAAACAAAAACCACAAAAGAAAACAAAGGAGUCACAGAGGCAAAGUAUUAUCCAUAUCUGUAGAUAUACACCAUAAACUUUUUAUAUCAAAUUAGCGGCUUUUUUCCCAGUACUUCUAUUUUUCAUGCUUUGUUUUUCUAAAUCAGAGUGCUUCAGUUCAGGAUCUCGGUAUGUGAUGGUGGAACACCUCCAGGAAGAGAGAUGGUAAACAAUGCUUCCUAGGCUAGUUGAGAGCCAGUGGGGCAGAACACUCAUUUUGGUAAUGAGAUAAUAUCACCAUCAGAUCUUAAGUAGGAGCCUCCAGCAUCAGAGUCUUCAAUACCGUGCUACUUGCAAUUAAAUCUUUGUGGUCUGUUUGGUGUUUUCCUGAACGUAUUAAAUCUUUUCUCACCGAGAUGUUCUCAAGAACUGCUGUGCUCUUGAUGAUAUGAUUCAUUUGACAGCAUUUCCAGAUUUCUUAAAAAAAAAGAAAAAAAAAAAAGAAAGAAAACUUCAGUUUACUCUAGGCUAUUUUAGUAAUAUAUCACACACUGACAUUUUAAAUAAAUUUGAUAGACUGUAAGUAUAUAUGUGUCCCAUGGUCACCAUGAUAAUUCUGUUAUCCACUUAAAAACUAUGCUUCAAAAAGCAUUAAAUAAGCUUAAAAUGGAUGUAAAAAUGAAAAAAGUUAAACCCUUUUCAUCUGUUUUCUGUUCUUCUUGACCAUGCAAUUGUAUCACAUUUUUAAACUUUAACUUUUACACCCAUGAUAGAUUGAAAUGUACUUGAUUUUUGUUAAUAAAGGUGGGAUUUUCUUCUGC
Non-coding RNA from Phalacrocorax carbo (great cormorant), 5367 nucleotides. The record is from RefSeq and is a predicted model, not a curated record. Lineage: Eukaryota; Metazoa; Chordata; Aves; Suliformes; Phalacrocoracidae.